UACGGGGGGGGCAAGCGUUGUUCGGAAUUACUGGGCGUAAAGGGCUCGUAGGUGGUCAACUAAGUCGGACGUGAAAUCCCUCGGCUUAACCGGGGAACUGCGUCCGAUACUGGAUGACUUGAGUUCGGGAGAGGGAUGCGGAAUUCCAGGUGUAGCGGUGAAAUGCGCAGAUAUCAGGAGGAACACCGAUGGCGAAGGCAGGUCUCUGGGCAUUAACUGACGUUGAGGAGCGAAAGCAUGGGGAGCGAACAGG
This 253-nucleotide ribosomal RNA is filed under the name uncultured bacterium. RNAcentral's name for it is "partial 16S ribosomal RNA". It matches the Rfam family "Bacterial small subunit ribosomal RNA", at positions 524 to 776 of the family's 1533-position model. The record is from RNAcentral.